CAUUAAAUAUCUUAAUUUAAAGAUUUGAAUUUUUAAUUCAAUAAUAAUAAUAAUUUUAUUUUUAAUGA
RNAcentral lists this transfer RNA (68 nucleotides) under Triraphis sp. QL-2013. RNAcentral's name for it is "tRNA-Lys". The record is from RNAcentral. Lineage: Eukaryota; Metazoa; Arthropoda; Insecta; Hymenoptera; Braconidae.